RNAcentral lists this ribosomal RNA (271 nucleotides) under uncultured bacterium. RNAcentral describes it as "partial 16S ribosomal RNA". It matches the Rfam family "Bacterial small subunit ribosomal RNA", at positions 333 to 620 of the family's 1533-position model. The record is from RNAcentral.
CUCUUCCUACGGGGCGCAGCAGUCGGGAAUAUUGCGCAAUGGAGGAAACUCUGACGCAGUGACGCCGCGUACAGGAAGAAGGUUUUCGGAUUGUAAACUAUUGUCGUUAGGGAAGAUAAAAGACUGUACCUAAGGAGGAAGCCCCGGCUAACUAUGUGCCAGCAGCCGCGGUCAUACAUAGGGGGCAAGCGUUAUCCGGAAUUAUUGGGUGUAAAGGGUGCGUAGGCGGAAUAUCAAGUCAGCGGUAAAAAUUCGGGGCUCAACCCCGUCG